Molecule: ribosomal RNA, 379 nt
Filed under: uncultured eukaryote
Lineage: Eukaryota
Description: partial 18S ribosomal RNA
Rfam family: Eukaryotic small subunit ribosomal RNA
Source: RNAcentral
CAACAGCGUAUAUUUAAGUUGUUGCAGUUAAAAAGCUCGUAGUUGGAUUUCGGAUGGGAUUUGCCGGUCCGUCGUUACGAUGUGCACUGGCCAGUCCUAUCUUGUUGUCGGGGACUAGCUCCUUGGAUUCACUUCCUGGGACUAGGAGCUGACGAGGUUACUUUGAGUAAAUUAGAGUGUUCAAAGCAAGCCUACGCUCUGAAUACAUUAGCAUGGAAUAACACGAUAGGACUCUGGCUUAUCUUGUUGGUCUGUGAGACCAGAGUAAUGAUUAAGAGGGACAGUCGGGGACAUUCGUAUUUCAUUGUCAGAGGUGAAAUUCUUGGAUUUAUGAAAGACGAACUUCUGCGAAAGCAUUUGUCAAGGAUGUUUUCAUUAA